GACGAAACGCUGGCGGCGUGCCUAAUACAUGCAAGUCGAGCGAAGUUUUUCUGGUGCUUUGCACUUAGAAAAACUUAGCGGCGAACGGGUGAGUAACACGUAAAGAACCUGCCUUAUAGACUGGGACAACUAUUGGAAACGAUAGCUAAUACCGGAUAACAGCAUUAACUGCAUGGUUGAUGUUUGAAAGUUGGUUUUGCUAACACUAUGAGAUGGCUAUGCGGUGCAUUAGCUAGUUGGUGGGGUAAAGGCCUACCAAGGCGACGAUGCAUAGCCGACCUGAGAGGGUGAUCGGCCACACUGGGACUGAGACACGGCCCAGACUCCUACGGGAGGCAGCAGUAGGGAAUCUUCCGCAAUGGGCGAAAGCCUGACGGAGCAACGCCGCGUGAGUGAAGAAGGAUUUCGGUUCGUAAAGCUCUGUUGUUAGGGAAGAAUGAUUGUGUAGUAACUAUACACAGUAGAGACGGUACCUAACCAGAAAGCCACGGCUAACUACGUGCCAGCAGCCGCGGUAAUACGUAGGUGGCAAGCGUUGUCCGGAAUUAUUGGGCGUAAAGCGCGCGCAGGUGGUUUAAUAAGUCUGAUGUGAAAGCCCACGGCUCAACCGUGGAGGGUCAUUGGAAACUGUUAAACUUGAGUGCAGGAGAGAAAAGUGGAAUUCCUAGUGUAGUGGUGAAAUGCGUAGAGAUUAGGAGGAACACCAGUGGCGAAGGCGGCUUUUUGGCCUGUAACUGACACUGAGGCGCGAAAGCGUGGGGAGCAAACAGG
This 771-nucleotide ribosomal RNA is filed under the name uncultured Gemella sp. Its description in RNAcentral is "bacterial SSU rRNA". It matches the Rfam family "Bacterial small subunit ribosomal RNA", at positions 28 to 776 of the family's 1533-position model. Lineage: Bacteria; Bacillati; Bacillota; Bacilli; Caryophanales; Gemellaceae. The record is from RNAcentral.